Long non-coding RNA from Bos taurus (domestic cattle), 1739 nucleotides. The record is from Ensembl. NCBI's taxonomy places the organism in Eukaryota, Metazoa, Chordata, Mammalia, Artiodactyla, Bovidae.
ACUGUGGGGGAGGGAAAAGUCUGAUCCACCAGGAUCACGUCCCCCAAAGGAGGCCAGAUUCAGGAGGCUGGGUCCUGCUUACCUGCCGCCAGGGGGGCUGUGUUCUCACUUCACUCAGUCCUUGUGGUGCAACUAAACCCAAGCCAAGCAGGGGUGGCCGAAGCUGUCCCAAGAUGAGUGAGGUAGAACCCUGGACACCGUGGACAUUGCUGUGGUUGUGGAGAAGAACCUGAACCAAGCCCUUCUGGGUCUUCAUACCCUGGUUCUGCCUGUGCAGACCCCUGUCUCUGUGACGUCCUGGAGAAUCACUUCACAGAUGAGGAGGUGAAACUCAGCAAGAAUUUGGGGAUCCACCUGACAGACUGGCUGCCGUUGGGCCGUUUAAACAGUGCUGGAGUGAUCCAUCCCUUAAAGGUUUGGUGGAACCUGAGGGGCCAACCUCAGCCUGCAGCUGGCACCUGAAAAGAAGGCCUCAGUGACUCAGAUGAUUGAUCCCAGCAGGGCAGUUUCCGUGGAGCCGACCAUAAGCCUCAGAGAUGCAGACUCCCACGUCCUUGGGGUGGGACUCUCCCUCCCUCCAUCCUGGAUCUUCUUGCUGGUCGAGCCUAGCCCGCCAGAGAGGAGGAUCACAUGUCGGAGUGUAUGUGUCUGUUGUCUGUUUGGGCAGCUGGGUCUCCCCCCGCCCCAGCCUCCGCCGCAGCUCUCUGCUGUUCUGUCCGUGGGGGUCCAGGCGGCCGUGGUACUUCUGCCCACCCUGGUUGCCCUCCGCUGCAGCACCUUGUGUCCCGCGACCAGUAGCCGACCGCCAGGCUCCAGUCUGUGUCUGCCAAGGACGCAUCUUCCCAACACUUCCCCGUGACAACCUCAGGUGGAAGCAAUUUCACCGUCUUGUAACUCACCGGGUCAUUAUAAUUAGUAUCCCGGCGCCCAGGGCGAGGGCGGAAGAAAGGAAAGAAAAGACUCGAUCCAGCCAGGCGAAGAGCAGCAGCCUCUGGGGGCUGGGGCGGCCUUUCCUCCUGCUCCAGCUCGUAACUCAGAUUUUCUCAGGACUGAUUCCAUCACGUCCCUCCCCUCCGUGUGUGCAAGGUGGGAGGUGGUCGAGGAGUCAGGCACUGCUCCGCUGGGCCCUGGGCAUACACAGCGGGAGUCUCUGACCUGAGUGAGGCUCCCCUGCCCCCUGAGAGCCCACAUCUGAGGCUGGGGUCCACGGUGAGGGCCCUGCAGGGAGAGAUCAGUACCUCCCACAUCCCCGUGGACCCUCCCUGCCUCUGGGUCCCUGCAGCCCCAGAGCCAGAGCCCAUCAAGAGCUGGUGAUGGUGACCAUGGGCACAGCUGGGUUCCACCCCAGGCACAGCUAGGAUAGGUAUGACUCUGAGAGAAGCAGCCAGGUGGGGGAACAGGACGUGUCAGGGAGCAAGAUUUCCCAUCAGGUUGGUCAAGGCUUUUUGGUUGCAAGCAACAGAAAUAGACUGACUCAAGGGAGGGAAUUUAGGGACUUCCCUGGUGGUCCAGUGAUUCAGAUCCACCUUGCAAUGCAGGGGACACGGGUUCGAUCCCCGGUCGGGGAACUAGGAUCCCACAUCCGGCGAGACAGCUAAGCCCGUGUGCUAGCACUACCGAGUCCUCACCCUCCAGAGCCUGCCAGCCGCAACUAGCGAGGCCAUGCAUCACGAUGAAAGGUCCUGCUUGACACAACGAAGACCCAAGGCCGCCAAAGAAGCACAUGCAUGCAUAAAUAU